This 73-nucleotide transfer RNA is filed under the name Eleotris fusca (dusky sleeper). RNAcentral's name for it is "tRNA-Val". It matches the Rfam family "tRNA". Rfam says of the family: Transfer RNA (tRNA) molecules are approximately 80 nucleotides in length. Their secondary structure includes four short double-helical elements and three loops (D, anti-codon, and T loops). Further hydrogen bonds mediate the characteristic L-shaped molecular structure. tRNAs have two regions of fundamental functional importance: the anti-codon, which is responsible for specific mRNA codon recognition, and the 3' end, to which the tRNAs corresponding amino acid is attached (by aminoacyl-tRNA synthetases). tRNAs cope with the degeneracy of the genetic code in two manners: having more than one tRNA (with a specific anti-codon) for a particular amino acid; and 'wobble' base-pairing, i.e. permitting non-standard base-pairing at the 3rd anti-codon position. Lineage: Eukaryota; Metazoa; Chordata; Actinopteri; Gobiiformes; Eleotridae. The record is from RNAcentral.
CAGAACGUAGCUAAACUAGCUAUAGCAUCUCCCUUACACCGAGAAGGUGCCCGUGCAAAUCGGGCCGAACUGA